RNAcentral lists this long non-coding RNA (13526 nucleotides) under Malus domestica (apple). Its description in RNAcentral is "long non-coding RNA (MDOM_LNC008137)". The record is from RNAcentral. Lineage: Eukaryota; Viridiplantae; Streptophyta; Magnoliopsida; Rosales; Rosaceae.
AUGGUUUCCAAUACUCUUUCUAACAGAUGUCAGCUUAAUAGCAUUCUGUUUUUAUCUCCUUUUACCCACAAUAAUGGGUUAAGAGGAUCCUAAGGUUGGUGUUUUGUUAGUCUGUUUGAACUGUUAAUAGUUCUUGGAGUUCAGGAACUCCUACAUUUCAUAACAUUCCUUUGUUUCCGCAUCUAAUAUAAUAGUCAGUGAACCUCAAUUUGACUAAGGGAAUGAAAUUAAGAAAAACCAUUUCACUAAUUAUUGUCGCAUAGGUGCUGCUCCUGUUGAGAUUUUUAUUAUUGGGGAUGUGACCUCCAUCAUCUCAUUAUAUCUUAUGCGGUUUCUUUCUAAUCUAUUACAUUUAUUGUAUCACAUGCACAUGCACAUACACAAACUCAAACUUGCGCACAUGGGCGCGCACACACUCACACACUCAUACAUAUCAGUUUUAUUAGCGUUAGCAUUCAAUAAUAAUAUCUCCCUUUACUCACAAUAAUGGGUUAAGAGGAUCCUUAAGAAUGCUUAUAUUACAGGUUGGAGUUUUGUUAGUCUGUUUGAACUGUUAAUAGUUCUUGGAGUUCGGGAACUCCUACAUUUCAUACCGUACCUGUGUUUCCGCAUCUAAUAUACUAGUCAGUGAGCCUCGGUUUGACUAAGGGAAUGAAAUUAAGAAAAAGCAUUUCACUAAUUAUUGUCACAUAGGUACCACUCCAUUUGAGAUUUUUAUUGUUGGGGAUGUGACCUCCAUCAUCUCAUUAUAUUUUAUACGAUUUCUUUCUACAUUUAUUGUAUCACCCGCAAAUGCACAUACGCAAACUCAAACUUGCGUGCAUGCACGCACACACACACACUCAUACAUAUCAAUUUUAUUAGCUUUAGCAUUCAAUAAUAUAUCUCCUUUACUCACAAUAAUGGGUUAAGAGGAUCCUUAAGAAUGCUUACAUUACAGGUUGGAGUUUUGUUAGUCUGUUACUGUUAAUAGUUCUUGGAGUUCGGGAACUCCUACAUUUCAUAACAUUUAUGUGUUAUCCAAACCUAAACUGCCAGUCAUUGAACAUCACUGUGAUUGAGGGAAAUAAAUGAAGUACAAACAUUUACGACUAAUUAAGUUUCAAACAUGAUUGAGCAUUACAUAAAUGUUACUCCUGUUGGAAUGAUAAGUGUCAAAUUUCUUAGUAUCCAACAUAUCAUUAGAUCUUAUGCAUUAUCUCUAUGAACUAUCGAAUUGCUUCCUGAAAUUGCACACUUGUAUAUAUUCAUGGGAAUCUAUUAGCAUUAAUCUAUAUUAACAAAAGUGUUACUCCGUAGACUGCAACUCUUUUUUACUCGUGAAUUUUUAGUACAAAUAAUUACGUAUGUACAUCUGCAAUUAAUUAAGUACAGUUUGUACAUCCACGCAACAGAGAUGAUCUCUUUCUAUAGAAAACAAUUUCACAUGUCUACUGUUUCCAGAUGGUAACAUUAGUCGCUAUAGCAUUCAGAUUUUAUCUCCCUUUACUCAUAAUAACAAUGGGUUAAGAGGACCCUCUGGAAUGCUUAAAUUGCAGUUUGGAGUUUUGUUAGUCUGUUUGAACUGUUAAUAGUUCUUGGAGUUCGGGAACUCCUACAUUUCAUAACAUUCUUUUGUUUUCCAAAGCUAAUAUACUAGUCAUCAUCAGCAUGAAAUGUUACUUGGCAGCUUCAAAGCUUAAGCUGUAGUGGCCAAUGUUUUACAUGCUAAUUAUAAGUUUAAAUAUCCGAGUUCAGUAUCCAUGAUCCACCUUUUUAAGUUGACUUAUCACUUUUUGCAAAAUCCAAGCCCACUGUUGUGAGAGAACCCGUUAAGCUGUUAACAUCUAUUUAUUUUGGGAUAUAGGUUAGUCUUGCAAAAGGAAAAUACAUUUGUCAAUUGCGUGCCCACCAUCUUGUCAAAUUUAUUAGCAUUCUUUUACAUUUUCCCUACCUACGAUACAAUAAUGGGUUAAGAGGAUCCUCAAGAAUGCUUACAUUAUAUGUUUGGAGUUUUGUUAGUCUGUUUGAACUGUUAGUAGUUCUUGGAGUUCGGGAACUCCUACAUUUCAUAGCAUUCCUGUAUUAUCCAAUCCUAAUAUACUUUUUAUUCUGGGUCAAAAACCAAUCCUAAUAUAGUCAUUAAUUGUCAGCGUGCUUGAGGGAAUCAAUUAAUUAAAAGGGAAUCAAUUAAUUAAACACGGAUUACUAAUUGAAGUUAAUUUCAAUCCUGAGUUAAUCAAUUAGUACUGUUCUUUUCAGAACCAUAGUCCUUAUGACAUUAACCUACACUGUUGGGCUUGACCACAUAUAUUGAUACACUGUUUCCUUGUUCUGUGUUGCUUGGUUUAUGCCAUAAUUAGGGCUUGUACAGAUCUGUUUUUGCACAACCAUUAUGCUUUAGUUAUUACCUAGGUAUUUGGGUUUGUCGACUUCUAUUGAUCAUCCCUUUACCUUCUUUUUUUGUUAGGACAUGCUAUGGCGUUUGUAGAUUUGUCAUGGAAAGUGGUGCAAAGGGAUGCAAGGUGCGAAUGAAAGCUGUUCUUUCCACUUGACCUUAUUAGGCUGCACCAACAUAGUACAAUGAAUCUUUCUACUCUACAACCUGUGGGUCAUUGUUAGUGGCAAAAUCAGGGCUCAGCGUGCCAAGUCUAUGAAAUUCAAGGAUGGAUACAUGAUAUCCUCUGGCCAGCCUGUAAAGGAAUAUAUCGAUGCUGCUGUGCCGCAUGUGCUUCUUAGACAGGUUAGCUCCUCCACCAUUCUGGCUCUUAUGUGCUUUUGUUAUCUUUACUUAUUUUUCGUAUAUCCAUUUUUCAAGGUGUUCUUGGGAUUAAGGUCAAAAUCACUCUCGAUUGGGAUCCCAAGGGUAAGCAAGGCUCCAAAACACCCCUACCUGAUCUGGUCACCAUCCACCAACCCAAAGAGGACGACAUCAGAUCAGGCCCCCCGUUGUGGCAACCGAAAGUCUGAAAUACCAGUUGGCCUUGUCGCUGCUUAGAGUUGUUUUAACGCAUGCUCAUACCAUUUUUUUUAGUCAAUAUACUAAUUUCUCAUAUUCCGCAUAAUCUCAUUUCUAGUUGGAUGCCUGUUAGUACCCGAUUGGAAUAUGAGAAUGAGAUUAUGUCUUUAGAAUUGUAAUUUUCUUAGCCAGCAAAUAGAAAAAGCAACUCAUGCUCUGUAUGUUACCCGCGUUUGUGUCCUCCCGACUUUUGCUGUUGGAAUCUUAACUUCGUAUGGGAAAUAGUAUUGGGCUGCCUCCCUUUGUAUUUACUCUUAUGGUUAAAAUUCAAAUUCAAAGAUAAUUCUUCUAUUUCUUUUUUAUUAAUGGGGUUGGGAGUCGUGAACUUAAGAACCUCAUCUUUUAAGAGGAAGACCAGAGGAAGAUCAGGGUGGGUUAGGUUUCACAAUGGGUUAGCAAUAAUAUGACUUAAAUUCGUCUUUAGCGAGAAUCGAACAUAAGAUUUCUUAUUUACAAGUGAAGGCGAUAAUCAAAUAUAAGAUCUUUCAUUUACAAGUGAAGAAAAAUAUUACUAUACUGUAGUACCAAGUGUCCUUUUGAAUAGGAAUAUUGUUUGGGCUUAAUUGGGUUAAUAGUUCUUGUGGUGGUAGGGUGGUUGGAAAAUAAUUCAUGUGGUAAAAAAAAACUAGGAUUUAAGCCUCUGUGGUGAAGGAUGUUAGGAUUUAGGCUCAUAAUUGAAAAUUUCGUCAACUCUCAAUUAAUUAUUAACACAUGAGGCUCACAUGUAUAACUAAAAGGGUAAAGUUCACCUCAUAUUUAAGCCUCACAUGCUAACAAUUAACGGAAAGUUUCGAUUUAAUCUAAUAUGUGUGGCUCAUAUGCUAAUAAUUAACUGAGAGUUGACGGUUUUGGGUAUAGUCAUAUUCUAACCAAGUAACGGUUAAUCUAAACUAGGCCUGGGCACGGUUUGGUACCGAGGUGGUACCAAAACCGAACCUAUAGCAAAAUUUCGGUACGGUAUGAAUGGUUGUACCAACUUAGUACCGAACCUAUUCGGUCCAAGUAUAGGUUCGGUUCUGGGCCUUUAAGGAACAAUGCCUGUUUUUCAAUUUUUGUAAACAAAAAAAAUAAAUAAAUAAAACGUCCAAAUCAGUUUUUGGCCCAAAAUUAACAAAGUUCACACAAAUUAAUUUUUGGCCCAGAUUUCAAUGCACGCAUACAUUUUUGUCUUCUCAAGUUAAGACCCUGGUAAGCCUCACUCAAAGAUCGAGAAAUGAAUGUUGUAAAAGAUGGAAAUGAUAAACUGGUAACAGUUCCACAUGUAAGACUUAGGGCUAAAUGUGUCUAUUACCCGGAACAUACAAAUGAUGGUAACUUUGCGGCCGAUUCAAGCAUUAAUGAUACAUUUGGAAUGAGAAAACAUCUUAGCCGACAAUGUAAAUUUUAUCAGGCCAACUUGAGGAAAAAUAAAAAACUUCUUUACGAGGAUAAGAAAUGGGGUAUAACUUCUUUGGUUAGAAUAUGAGUAUGACUCAAUUGGUAAACAUAGAUAAAGACGUUAUUACAAGCAAUAUGGUUUGAAGCCAAAACCUAAAUGAAACCUAACCAUUUGAUUUGGUGCGGUUUCAAACGUUUUUGGUUCGGUUUUCAACCCUUUUACAUACAAAAUGAAAAAAAUUAUCUUUGUCCUCCUCUCUCUCUCCCCUUUCUCACAUAAAUAUUAGAAAAGGACUAACCAAAUAAGAUAGAAUUUGAGUAAAUAACAAUGAAACAAAUUGAUACACUUCUACCAUUUUAUACCAAAAUAUUAUCAACCAAAAUAAACCUUUUUUUUUUACAAAUUAAGGUACCCUAGUCAAUAUCUUUUACAAUUUCACAUUCACCCCCCCCCCCCCCACAAAAAAAAAAAACCAAAAUUGAAGCCUUCAGUACCUUACCUAGAAUCCGCCACUGGCGACUAAGAAAAGUAAUAAUCGCCCAAACAAAGCAACUGAGGACAAGAACAUACAUAUUUGAAUAUGAUUUACAUGCAUACACAGGAACCAAUAUUAUGCAAAUGUUUUGUCCCCAAUGCUAAAUGAGACCGAAUUGUCCUUGACCCAAACCCCAACCUUAGCCACACACAUAACUCAACGAAUGCAUCUCUAGAUUCACCUCGACCUCACUUGUUACCGCGCAAGUUCCAUCAUUGUAGUCCCAAGAAAAAUAAAACCGACCACCUCAUUUUCGACUAUGUAAUCUGUUUGUACCAUACUUGACCAAUCCCGAAACUACUAAGCACCGGUCAACGUUAUACCGUCAAGGGCCCAGAAGAGUUUCCCUCCAACCAGGAGGUCAAUCACAGCGCGACACGUGUCGACAUCAGAAGCCAAUCAUAGCGCCACACGUGUCAACAUCAGAAGUCAAUCACAACACGACACGUGUCAAUGUCAGAAUGAAACUAGAAACUCUCUUCUAUAAAUAGAGAUCAUUCUCUCACAAUAUUUCCUAAUGUCAUUUGUACUAAAUCAUUCACUAGUACUCACUAAAUGAGAGCUUGAACCUAUGUACUUGUGUAAACCCUUCACAAUUAAUGAGAACUCAUCUACUCCGUGGACGUAGCCAAUCUGGAUAAACUACGUACAUCUUAUGUUUGCUUCCCUGUCCCUAUCCAUUUACAUACUUAUUCACACUAGUGACUGGAGCAAUCUAGCGAAGGUCACAAACUUAACACUUUCUGUUGUACCAAAGUCCUCGUUGAUUUUGUGCAUCAACAUAAUCAAUCGAGAAACUAAUCACAAUCGAAAGAACUAUAUAUUACACUUUCUCUUUAUUUAAAUUUAAAUUUACAUAAAUAUGCAAAUUAAUGAGAAAUAAUACAUAUACGAGAUAAAACUUUCAAUCUGAAAAUUAUUUAAGGUUGUGAUAGAGGGAGGGGGGCAAGCAAAAUGGGAGAGGGGAGAAUGUCCCAGAGUUGGGGGGUAGAGUAAUUUUUCAUCUAAUUUGUACUUUUAUCAUUUUCAAAUUUGUAAAUCAAAUAGAUAUUGUUAUAAAUAAAUUGGAUUGAAUGUCAUUAAUUGACUAGUGAAAAUAAACACGAUAACUAAACGGGCAAUUAAAAACAUAGAGACUAAUUGACGCAAUGAGUAGAACAUCGAGAUCAGUUUGACAUUUAAGCCAAAUAAAAAAAAAAAUUUCUAUCCAAAAAGAAAAAAAAAAAAAAAAAUUUUAAAGUGAUCCGGACGCCAAGUCCCAUUUGUGAACUGCAUUGGAAGUAGAGUUUGGAGUCCGCAGCUGUACGACAUUAUGCUCACAGCGUACUAAAAAAGCGAGCCAAAAAAGCAGAAGCGCACACAGACGGGCGCAGUGCAGCAGCAGACCAAUCCGAUUGUUUUCCCUUUCCUCAAAGCUUCCCGCACAAGCUUUCUCUCAGAAAACGACUCGUCUUCUUCCCAACUCAGUGCCCGGCGUGCUUCGAAUCGGUCGCUAUCCUUGCAAUUUUACACUCGCAAGGACUGAGUCAACUCGCUCCUCAUUCUCACAGUCCUAUGGUGAGCCCCGUCCUACUUAAUUUCGCUUCAUCUGCUGUUCAAGUUUGCUCCGAAUGUGAAAAUUUUGAACAAUUUCUAGUGUUUUGGUGCUUCUGCAUGUAAAUUCUCGGCUUUUACUGUGAUAUCAUUUGAAUUACUUAGCAGUUUUGCCUGAAAUGGUGCUUUUCUCUCACUAGAAAUGUAGUUUUAUGUAAUUGGGAUUGGAAAUUUGCUGUCUUUGGAGGAAAUGUAGUUUGAUAUAGUGUUAAUUUCGUUUUUGCUGUUUUCUUUUCAGUUUUCGAAAAUUUUGAAUUUUGAAUUGCAGGUUUGAGUAUUUGAAUCGGAGAAUUUUGUUUAUUUGUUUUGAAUUCUGGGUGCAUUUAUAUUUUAGUGGAUGAGAUUUUAUUUUUAUUACCUUUGAAAAUUAUAGAAGUUAACUUUGUUCAUUUACUUUGUUUUUUGUUUUUGUUUAUUUGGUUUUGAGGUUUCAGUUUGUGUAUUUGAGUUGCAUGUGGUGGAUUUUCCAUGGAAACAGUGGUCGGUGUUGAGGGGAAUGAUGAAGGGAUGUGUGAGGAGAGUGGGGUUGAGAAAAGUAGCUCUUCUUUGUCUUCGCCAAAGCAGAUUGCCGAUCCUGUUGUAUACAAGCUCGUUCGGGUAUGUUUCAUUUGCAUUAAAAGUUCAACUGUUCUGUUGGUGCUAGUAGUUUUGUGCACAUAAAAUUGGAGUGUAAGCCGCUUCUUUCUGUUCUCUUUGCCAGGUAUAAGUGUGUUAACAUUCCUUAUGAUUGGUUUAACUUUCAAAUUUGUACAGAAACAUGAUAACUUGAUAGGCUUGGGUAAUGGGCGUUCAUGAUACUGCUUUAGAGCCUAUAAAGGACUGUAUAUCGAUCAAGAGAUUUUAACAGUUAUUUUAUUCAUAAAUUACAAUUAGAAGCAGUCAAGCCAUCAAUUAAUGAGUACAAUUAGAAGCAGCCAGGCUGCUGCCUGCCUUCUGGGCGAAUCAGAGUUUAGAAAAUAAUAGUAGAUACGAAUUGAAGCUUGAGCUUUACAAUUUGAUAUGUUCUUUCUCUAAAGCUUUGAUUUUGGGGAUUUAGUUUGUCACCAAUUCUAAAUUCAAGGUUUAUACUUGGAUUAAAUGAGAGGCCAUUUUUUGGUUUGGCGACAGGUUUUCCAUAAUUCUUUAAGGGGGAAACUUAAAAUUGCACUGCAGUUACAACUAUGGACUUGUUACUUCAUGUUCGAAAAUUUCAUUGCCAUUUAUUUUGUUUUCUUUAGAUUCAUAACGUCUUAUUUGAUUCCAGGUUGAAGGUGAUGGGAGAUUAGUGCCAGCAACAGAUGAUGAAGUAAUGGAAGUUGAGGAUUUUCUUGUUGAUGAGAUGGUUGAAUUACCUGUUAUUACAGAGGCUGGAAAUGGUUGGUGCAUUUCCAAUGAAGAGUCUUCCUCUGGGAAACCUCAGAAAGAAAGCUCAGAAGGUCUAUUUGAUUUAUUGUUGUGACUAAUUAUUUAAUUUCCAUCUGUAUCAUUAUGGAUUAUUUUACGUAGUAACUUUAAGGGCAUGCAAUUUGGAACCUUAAGCUAUAACUUCUGUAUAUAAUGACUAUUGGAGUCUGAUUUUUAUCUAUUCAUAUUUUUGUGUUGAAUCAGUUACAUGCGCAUCUCAAAUCUCAAUUCUCAAAAUUAGUUUGACAAAUCUUAUUCCAACUUACUUUUUCUCCUCAAUGGCUUUGGAGUUCAUUUAUAUUCAACACCAAAGUGACUACUUUUUGGGUACUUUCAUUUAUAUUCAAGAUAUGUUUUGCAUACCUAUUGUUUCCCUGACUUAGUGAAGUAUUGUUUCAAUGAAAAAUGACUUUGUGAGAAACUAGUUGUAGAACUUGGUUUGUUAAAUUAUUUGAAGACAUUCUAUUUUUAUAUCUUAUGGUGUUGGUUCUGUAAUGGUUUUCAUCUCUCACAGAGCAAUACAUUUCCAGGUGUCUCACAUUCAGAGAACACAGAAGCUGAUGUGAAAUUAUGUGCACGGCUUGAGGUAUUGACUUGCUUUCUCUGGAUAAAAUUUCCUCCUGUUGUAGAAUCAGAUGGAUGAGUACUAUCUUGCAUAAACUUAUGGCCUGCUAUGACUGUUCUGAAUAGCAUAUUUCUUUUGGAUAACUUUAUCUUUAUGUCUCUUUAAUAAAUUGAUUCAAGUGCUUGGAUAUGUUUACAGAUACCCCUUGUACAGCAGUUAUAUUUCCUAGCUGCUAUAUGCAUUUUAAUCCUGUAGAAAGGAAUUUCUUGAUUUUGAAAUUUAUCAUCUGUAUUAUGUGUUAGUGGCGUAUUUCUUUAUCAACUGGUUUGAUUGUUCAUUUCUUAAACUUAUAGAUAGUUUAUUUCAAUUCUUCUUUUUCUUGCAUCUCUACAAGUAUGUGUACAAUUUUAGCAUAUCUAGUUAUUAAUCGUCUUGGAUCCUUCUCGGCCUCUAAAAUCUCUUGUAGUACAUCGAGGAGAUGUUGCAAAAGGUCAAACAGGAGGAGAGGCUCCGCUUAGCAUGUGGAACUCCUGAUCCUUCUUCUGCUUUUAUGAAUGUAGACAUCCAGUGUUCUGAUCAGCAUGAUAAAUUACCUGCUAUUGAUGAGAAGCUGCAAUCUGAAAUUCCUUUGCAGGAUAUUGUUCCUUCUUCAUCACUGAGUCCAGAUGGAAGCCAUAUUAAUGAAUCUGGGAGAAUUGGGGAGUGCUCAAAACAACCGCUGGAUGGACCAAUAGAAAGUGGGUCAUCAGCUUCUGUCAUCUGCACUAGUCCAAAGCCUGAUGUUAAUACACUAAAGGGGGAGAUAUGCUUGGACAACCUAUCAAUUAGAGAACUUCAUGAAUUAUUUCGGGCAACUUUUGGGAGAGAAAGUACUGUUAAGGACAAGUUGUGGCUUAAGAGGAGGAUCACAAUGGGGUUGACUAACUCUUGUGAUGUUUCAACAACUUUCACUAUUGUAGAUAACAAAUUGGUGAACAAGGGUAAAGAUGAUAGCAUUCAGAAUGCAGAUGGUAUGCUCACUGAGGGGUCAGAUGGUGAAGCAAAGAAUCUUGGGUAUGAAACUUCACCAACUAGCCACAGUAGCCAAAUGGAAAAUCAUGUCACUGUUUCGGGCAAGAGAUUGGUAAACAUUAGUGCAGAACUGGAUUGUGGAAGUGAGGACCUUCACACAGAUCAGAGAGCUGCCAAACGAGUUCGAAAGCCCACUAAGAGAUAUAUUGAAGAGCUUUCUGAAGUUGAAUCAAAAGAUUGUAGCCCAAAAGUGAUUAGUCCAGUUAAAAGUGCGGGACAACGACAAACAUCUCCAAAAUCUUGUUGGCCUCUUGGAAAUGUCCCUUUAAAUGAGAGAGCUAUUGUCACCAGGUCGGACCCUCUAGGAAAUGUGACAAAUGUCCCUUCAAAUGAGAGAACGUUUGUCACUAGGUUGGAUUCUCUUGGCGGAUCUGGGGUUCAGGUUCCUUAUGUUUCUCGAGUUCGUAGAAGCCGUCCAAGGAAAAAUAUUAUGGCCCUUAUGGUAGGUAAAACCCUUAUAUAAUAUGGCAAUACGAGUUGCUUUAUCAUUUCUUUUGUUUUUCUUCUUAAGCAUAGGAAUUACGAUUAUGAUAUAGCACUAUAAGUCAUCUGUACGACACAAUACCUGAAUGCGUUUGAUUUUUUAUUUGUAGAAGUUUGAUAUGAGUGGAAUGGGUGUGACAGCUAAACUUGUAAAAGAGGCCUUUAGUAUGCGUAGUUCUGUAUCAGAGAGUGAGCAUGCAGACAAAGUCUUGAAAAUCAGAUCUGCUUCUGAACGGAUGAAGCCACGGGUAAGAUCAAGUUUGCUUAACUGGAUUCCAUUAUUCUUACUUCACAUUGAGUUAUGGGCAUGUGUGUUUGAAUCUGAUAAUGUGUCGAUAACGUUAGUGUAGCCGGUUAUUAGUUUUGGACUGGCAUUUUGUAUUAUUGAGGACUAACGGGGGUAAUGACAUUUUUUUUUUAAUAUCAUGGUUUGCCUUUUGUUUGAGUGCUAUACUGAAUUACCUUUCAAUUGGUUGCAUGCUAAUUUUUUUGUUAUGUUAAUUGGUUGCCUAUGUAGUGUACUGCUGAACCAGAGAAAGACAAGCGUCGCUCAGUAAUGGGCACAAUUGAACUGCGAAAGAACUUGGGCAUUAAACAGACAGAUUCAUCCGAGGACAAUUCAGAUGAUGGUACAGCCCAGAUUCCCACAGCGAAAGGUGGAAUGAGAAGGAAACACCAUCGAGCUUGGACUCUUGUUGAGGUUAUAAAAUUAGUUGAGGGUGUCUCUAAGUGUGGCACUGGGAGGUGGUCUGAGAUCAAAAGGCUUUCCUUUGCAUCGUAUUCAUAUCGCACUUCUGUUGAUCUCAAGGUAUGAUUUUGCUGUACAAUUUGUAUUCAAGAUACCAAGUUCAUUUGGCAUCCAAUUAUACUAAAAAAAUGGUGAAUACUUUUCACUGAGAAAACAUGUGUCAUUUUGCAGGACAAGUGGAGAAACCUGCUCAAGGCUAGCUUUGCGCAAACGCCUCCUGAUGAUGGAGUGAGUACAUUCCCCUUACCUCUCUUUUAUGAGUUGGUUAGACGGGAAGUGUGGAACUUCCCAUCUCUUUCAAAUGCAAGCUUUCUUUGAACUCUUUGCUCAGCCUUUAAAUACUAAUUUUGCAUUCAACUAUUAUCUUCCAGAGAUUCCAAUAUUCUGUAAAUAAAAUUUUCGAACUUUGAUCACGUCUCCAUAGUAUUUUACAACUUGAACUGGCAUAUUUGAAUAUUUAUUAUCUACUGCAAAAUCUACUGCCCUAUGGUGGUUCACUUCAUCGUAACUUGCAAACAGAUGUUUGGCGUCUGUACUAGGAAUCAAAUAUGCCUAUGUAUAUAGUACACUAUACGCCAUUGAUUCUCUCUCCGGAUGUUCUUUUGAGUACCGACUUAACUUGGUUUGUCUGUGGGGAAUUGUGCAGAUAAACUCCCGGAAACAUGCUUCAGUACCCAUCCCGGCAUCAAUUUUGUUAAAAGUAAGAGAGCUUGCUGAGAUGCAGGUGCAGGUACCGCCAAAUCUAGGGCCCAGCAAGCUGGGCACUGGUAGCAGUCGAAGCGUGCAAAUGCGACCAGGCUUCUUGUAACAUUGUAUAUAAGGAUACUGCUGGACUGUAACCGUUUUCCUCUGCUGACAUUCACUUGUUACCAUGGCUGAAGUGCUGCAGAGGGAUUGCUGAGAUGUAGGCUUAAAUAUGUUUACGAUACAUUCUGACUCCUAAGUUCCUAACACAAUUUCUUACUCAGUUAUUAAUUUAUUAUGAUAGGGUUUAUGCCUGAUGUUAAAAAGUGAUCAAUUUUUGCACGGCAAGUUGACCGGCGGACACUUGCCGGUUGAUCAGUCGAAUGUCAAACAUGUUUAAAGUGACUAAUUACCCUUUUUUUUGUUUGUUACGGUCGAUAAUUAUCUUGGUUGAUAAAUAGGUCGCGAGUAAAUAAUAAAACUUUAAGGUAAUAACCGAAGUCUAACGCUACCUUUUGAACCAAAGAAGGCUAAAGCUAUCUGAUUUGGGAUUUGGGAUUUUGGUGAAGAAAAUCUUGAAUUAGGACCUAAAUAAUGAACUAUUCUACUCGUGGAAUUAAAUUUGUGGAGUGAGCCAAAGAGACUAACCAUGUUAAGUUACCGGAAUCCGGAUCCUCUUUGUGAGGAUUUCGGGAAUUUGUGAAUUGUGUCAAUUCAUCGUACAUAGUGCAGUAAAAAAUCAUAUUAAAUAUUUUUAUUUAAAAUUAAACAUAAACAGUACCUGACAAUAAUUGACCGCACGAUGUACGAUAACGAACACGAUUCACGAGUCCUUCGGAUCCUCACCAAAAGGAUCCCGUUGGAAGUUACUAACUACUAAUUAUUAGAGCUUGAGCGCUAUUGAUAUGUUGUAGCAAAGUGAAUGAAAUUUGGGCAAUUUAGUUGUAGAAAUGAUCAGGUUUCAUUAUAUCAUCUUUGUAUGGUCUUUAUGCAUCGUCGCAUUGUCGACAUUUAAUUAAUAUGUCAUCGUUAUUAGAAAUGAUCAUUUCUGUGACUAAAUGUUCAAAAUUUUGAUGAAACUUGGAUGAAAGUGUAGGAUCACAUUGAAGGAUUUGAAACUUAAGGAACGAAAUUUAUGAGUUAUCCAAAUGGCACAAAACUUUUGUUGUAAAAACACAUUAGGAUUAUAUGAAAGAUACGAAGUUCGGUUCUCUCCCCGAUGAGGAGGACCGGAAGUUUGAUGAGAUGGUACCCAAGAAAGAGGCCCAAGACGCCACGAUCCUUACAUUUAAAAGCCCAUACUCUCUCUCUUCUCAGCCCUAACUCUCUCACUCCUCUCUCUCUCUCUCUCUGUGAUACUUCCAGCUCCAGAUACAUCAUCAUCGCCAACCGAGUCACGGUGAGUCCUCCACCGCAGCUCUUCCACUCCCUCCAAUUCGCAAAUUACCAUUUCUUCGUUCAAGAAUUCAACCUCCCUGACAGCAAUUCAACAUGUUCUCUCUCACUGUAAUUCACUCUGUUUGGUGUCCGAGACAUCGCUGUUGAAACGACGAUUUCUCGGCAACCAAACAGACCUUUCGAUUUCUUUUCAAUAACCCAAUUAGUAGUUUUUUAUAUCUCAACUGUUCCUGCUGUUGCUUUUUUAGUUGUAGGAGCUGAAACAAUCCAGUAGCAAUGGGGAUCAUCGAAAGGAUCAAGGAAAUUGAGGCCGAAAUGGCUCGGACUCAGAAAUAAAGCCACAGGUAAUUUCUCUUUUUACUUGAUUUCCCUAUAUUUAUUGGGUAUUUAAAUAUAAUAUGGUCUUUUAUGAAUUGGGUUAUAUCUUAAUUUUUUGUUUAUUUAAUUGGAAUGCUGAAAAAAUGCAGAGUAUCAUCUUGGCCAGCUCAAGGCAAAGAUUGCCAAGCUCAGGACUCAGCUUUUGGAGCCUCCAAAAGUAUGCAACUUUUCCAUACACACACACACACACACACACACACACACACACCACACACACACACACCCACACACACCCACACACACCCACAUGAGUUUAAUUUGAUAUGAAUGUAGAAUUUUCCUGUAUUAACGUUAGGAACUUUGAUGGCCAUG